RNAcentral lists this ribosomal RNA (642 nucleotides) under Idris sp. 6 NM-2013. RNAcentral describes it as "eukaryotic LSU rRNA". It matches the Rfam family "Eukaryotic large subunit ribosomal RNA", at positions 386 to 848 of the family's 3401-position model. The record is from RNAcentral. Lineage: Eukaryota; Metazoa; Arthropoda; Insecta; Hymenoptera; Scelionidae.
CCCGAAAGAUCGAAUGAGGAGAUUCAUCGUCAGUAUGGUGAGUUUCCAUGCGUUUAGUGAUGACACACAUUCGCUGUGGUAUAUCUUGGCUAUGUCGGCGUGCACUUCUCCUCUAGUAGAACGUUGCGACCCGCUGGGUGUUGGCUUAAGGACCAAGAUGUAAACUGUUUUCGUUCGUUUACGCGUUCUGUUGACAGACUCUUGGAUUUCUAGCUGACUGCUCGGCGGUAUACAUAAGGUAUUGAGCCCCACAUUUUGAAUGCGUUCAGACUCGUUUACAAACUAAUCAUUGAUAACUUGAGGGNGCGGACCNAGUGCCCUCCUUGAGGAGGGUUGGUUGUUAUUUUAUAAUGUUUUCNAACUGGNUUAAUACCGGUCAGCAACGCUAUUGCUUUGGGUACUUUCAGGACCCCUCUUGAAACACGGACCAAGGAGUCUAACAUGUGCGCGAGUCAUUGGGAUUAUUAAACCUAAAGGCGCAUUGAAAGAGAAAAUCGACCUUUUUUUGGNUNNNGGNNGNUUNGCCAUUAUUAAAAUAUUGCUUCGCACUCCCGGGGUGUCUCGUAGUCAUUGCGACUUGAGGCGCACCCAGAGCGUACACGUUGGGACCCGAAAGAUGGUGAACUAUGCCUGGUCAGGAUG